Drosophila subobscura is the source of this 1919-nucleotide long non-coding RNA. RefSeq lists it as uncharacterized. NCBI's taxonomy places the organism in Eukaryota, Metazoa, Arthropoda, Insecta, Diptera, Drosophilidae. The record is from RefSeq and is a predicted model, not a curated record. The transcript is spliced from 3 exons.
AUAACGAACGCGUCGGCGGCGAUGGCCAUUGAACGUUGGCGGAGGGGCAGAAGGGGAAGGCGAUAACGACGAGUGAGCGUACAAAAGCAUCGAGAACUUAUUAUUGAGACUAAAAAUGCGGCGUGAGAUUUGAUUGUGAGUAAGCGCAAACCAGAGACCAGCCAGGCAGAGGGAACAGCAAACAGCAAGCACACACAGCACAGGCAGAGAGGCCAGGCCAGUCAGCAGAGGAGGAGGGAGAGGCCGUGGAAGGGGCAUGAGUAGAGCUAAAGCGCCGCGCAAAGCAAGGCGCAAAGCAGCGGCAGCAGAGGAGGAAGAAGAAGAAUAAGCAGUGGCGAAGCAGCAGCACACACAAACACACACACACACACACUAAAUAUACAAAAUAAAAGGCACAAGCACACAAAAGCUGAGAGACAUGGACAUGGACUUGGUCACAUAUGCACUGGAACGGAGAGGGGGGAGGCGGGCAGAAAAUGUACACAGGGAAAAGCUAAAGAAUUGUGAAGAAAGGGGGAUGUUGGAAUUGCACGGUGAAGAAGAAAGAAUAACAAGAAGAAGAAUAAAAGAACACACAAAAGGAGAAGAAUAGGAGAAUAUGAGGAAUAGAGUGGAGAAUAUGAAAGAAGUGCUAUCAAAAGGGAAGGAAAAAGAGAGGGAAGAGACAUGGUGAGGUGGAGGCACAGAAGAGCCACAGCGAAGAUUGUGGACAUGCGGAAAAAAAACGUUUAAAGAAGGACAACGAAGAAUAGAAUAGGAAUAUAAGGAAUGGAAGGGAUAGAAGAAAAUUUCAAUGAACGUAGAAGGAACGAAGGAACGACAAAACAUGUGUUAGAAGAAAGAACACAAGAACUGGGCGAAGGAGAACCAGAAGAGGAGAAUGGAAAGGAAUUAGAAACAGCAGAACGAAAGGAAAUAGAAAGCACGGGAAAAUAUGUAAGAAAAAAAAUCAAAUUUCGCGGAAGAAGGCCACAAAAAGAUAACAGAAGGAGGACAAACGAAUGUGGAGAAAGAGAUGAUGGAAAGGGGAAGGUUGGUGGGGCGGAGGGAGGAGUACUACUGCUUUGGGUACAAAGAGAGGAAGAGCACGGUACUAGUGGAGGAAGAAGAAAGCAGUGCGUGGGCUGGCAGGGGAGUAAAACGAAAGCUUAGCAACUGAUAAAACUUUCGAGUGGGGGCGUCUAGCCAGGAAGGGGCGUGGCAGCGCACAUUUUGAAUUUGUUUUGUUCUUGUUCUUCUGCCAUGUUUGUUGCUGUGUCAACACUGAAAAAGUCUGUCGUAUGAGGUAAUCGACGUCUUCGAGUUGCUUUUCUGUUUAUCAAAAUGUUGUACACAAAGCAAAGCGGAGAAAAAGAAGCAGUAAGAAGCAGAGAAAGAUAUCUAAAAGAAUAGCCAAGAAAACAAAAAGUAUGCCGGACAAACGAGACGGCAAAACAAAAUAUUGCCGCAUCUGGAGAAGGAUCUACUGCGCCCAAACUCUAACUUCGAGAAGAAUCCACUGCUUGCCAAAUAAUUACACUAAAGAGGAGUCAACUGCUUUCCGGAAUGCUGGCGUAAAAUGAGAUGAAACCACUGCUUGCCAGAAGAAUCAUUUGCAUUUCCGAAAAAACAUACCACACUGCUAUCAAGAUGGAAUCAACGCUGCAUGUGAAGGUCAAGCCACUGCUUUACAGAAGGAAAACAGGGCGGGGGGUUUUCGGCUUGAAAACAGCCGUAACUGUAUUGUAAUCGAUAAUCGAUGGUGCUGUGAAAUUGAAUCACCGAUGACCGACAAGCAGCUGUUUUUUUUAGGUAGGAUGGCUAUAAAAUCAAUUGAAGUCUAUAUUUUAGACACUACAAAGUGAACCGUAUUCAUGCCUACGUGCACUACUGAUAUCAAAACAAAAAUUCCUACAGAUCUUUCCACCCCCACAAAACGA